Molecule: ribosomal RNA, 225 nt
Filed under: uncultured prokaryote
Description: partial 16S ribosomal RNA
Rfam family: Bacterial small subunit ribosomal RNA
Source: RNAcentral
UACGAAGGGGGCUAGCGUUGCUCGGAAUUACUGGGCGUAAAGGGAGCGUAGGCGGGUCGUCAAGUCGGGGGUGAAAUCCUGAGGCUCAACCUCAGAACUGCCUUCGAUACUGGAGAUCUUGAGUCCGGGAGAGGUUAGUGGAACUGCGAGUGUAGAGGUGAAAUUCGUAGAUAUUCGCAAGAACACCAGUGGCGAAGGCGGCUAACUGGCCCGGUACUGACGCUG